Molecule: ribosomal RNA, 423 nt
Filed under: uncultured bacterium
Lineage: Bacteria
Description: bacterial SSU rRNA
Rfam family: Bacterial small subunit ribosomal RNA
Source: RNAcentral
AAGACCUUGCGCUUUUGGAGCGGCCGAUGCCUGAUUAGCUUGUUGGUAAGGUAAAAGCUUACCAAGGCUUCGAUCAGUAGCUGGUCUGAGAGGACGGCCAGCCACACUGGGACUGAGACACGGCCCAGACUCCUACGGGAGGCAGCAGUGGGGAAUUUUGGACAAUGGGGGCAACCCUGAUCCAGCCAUGCCGCGUGAGUGAAGAAGGCCUUCGGGUUGUAAAGCUCUUUCAGCCGGAACGAAAUGGUUACGGUUAAUACCCGUGAUUACUGACGGUACCGGAAGAAGAAGCACCGGCUAACUACGUGCCAGCAGCCGCGGUAAUACGUAGGGUGCGAGCGUUAAUCGGAAUUACUGGGCGUAAAGCGUGCGCAGGUGGUUUUGUAAGUCAGAUGUGAAAGCCCCGGGCUCAACCUGGGAACU